This 717-nucleotide ribosomal RNA is filed under the name uncultured Planctomycetota bacterium. RNAcentral describes it as "bacterial SSU rRNA". It matches the Rfam family "Bacterial small subunit ribosomal RNA", at positions 572 to 1278 of the family's 1533-position model. Lineage: Bacteria; Pseudomonadati; Planctomycetota. The record is from RNAcentral.
UAGGUGGGUUUGUAAGUCAGAUGUGAAACCCUUCUGUUCAACGGAAGAAUUGCAUCUGAAACUACAAGUCUUGAGUGUAGGAGGGGAGAAUGGAACUUCUGGUGGAGCGGUGAAAUCCGUAGAUAUCAGAAGGAACGCCGGCGGCGAAAGCGAUUCUCUGGCCUAUUACUGACACUCAGUGUGCGAAAGCUAGGGGAGCAAACGGGACUAGAUACCCCGGUAGUCCUAGCCGUAAACGAUGGGCACUAAGUAGAGGGGAUUACCGACGUUCUCUCUGCCGUAGCUAACGCAUUAAGUGCCCCGCCUGGGGAGUACGGCCGCAAGGCUAAAACUCAAAAGAAUUGACGGGGGCUCGCACAAGCGGUGGAGCAUGUGGCUUAAUUCGAUGCAACGCGAAGAACCUUACCGGGGCUUGACAUGGUAGAAGUAGGAACCCGAAAGGGUAACGAACGGUAUCCAGUCCGUGACCAUCACAGGUGUUGCAUGGCUGUCGUCAGCUCGUGUCGUGAGACGUUGGGUUAAGUCCCCUAACGAGCGAAACCCUUGUUUUUAGUUACCAGCGGGUUAUGCCGGGUACUCUAGAAAGACUGCCGUCGUCAAGACGGAGGAAGGUGGGGAUGACGUCAAGUCAUCAUGGCCCUUAUGCCCCGGGCUGCACACGUGCUACAAUGGUCGGUACAAACGGAAGCGAAGCCGAGAGGUGAAGCGAAUCCAAGC